RNAcentral lists this ribosomal RNA (253 nucleotides) under uncultured bacterium. RNAcentral describes it as "partial 16S ribosomal RNA". It matches the Rfam family "Bacterial small subunit ribosomal RNA", at positions 524 to 776 of the family's 1533-position model. The record is from RNAcentral.
GACAGAGGUGCCAAGCGUUAGGCGGAAUCACUGGGCUUAAAGCGUGUGUAGGCGGACUUGUAAGUACCUUGUGAAAUCCCACGGCUCAACCGUGGAACUGCUUGAUAUACUGCUUGUCUUGAGCCACUUAGGGGCUACCGGAACAAAUGGUGGAGCGGUGAAAUGCGUAGAUAUCAUUUGGAACGCCAAUGGUGAAAACAGGUAGCUGGGAGUGUGCUGACGCUGAGACACGAAAGCCAGGGGAGCGAACGGG